UACGUAGGGCGCAAGCGUUGUCCGGAAUUAUUGGGCGUAAAGAGCUCGUAGGUGGCUUGUCGCGUCUGCCGUGAAAGCCCAUGGCUUAACUGUGGGUCUGCGGUGGAUACGGGCAGGCUGGAGGCUGGUAGGGGCAAGCGGAAUUCCUGGUGUAGCGGUGAAAUGCGCAGAUAUCAGGAGGAACACCGGUGGCGAAGGCGGCUUGCUGGGCCAGUUCUGACGCUGAGGAGCGGAAGCGUGGGGAGCGAACAGG
RNAcentral lists this ribosomal RNA (253 nucleotides) under uncultured bacterium. Its description in RNAcentral is "partial 16S ribosomal RNA". It matches the Rfam family "Bacterial small subunit ribosomal RNA", at positions 524 to 776 of the family's 1533-position model. The record is from RNAcentral.